AAUCCAAAAUUCACAGAUUCAGUCCAAAAACACCAACAGCACAGUGAAAAGCCAAAUUGACCAAGCUAACCUCAACCAAAUUCUGUUAAAAAGGGCUCCAUGAAUUUCUCUUGAAGUCCAGAAUCCACCAAACCAAGUUUCACAGCAAUCCGACCUUCCUACGUCGCACACGAGCCAAAACACCGAAGGUCGCUGCUGAAAAUCUGCUAAACUGCAGUCCUUAAAGCUUCAAUUGAGGAAUUUAGAGUAAUUGGAGAAUUUAGAGGUGUUGGAAUGCAAAUUAUGGGUUCUCUGUGAAGGAGGGAUGAAAAGAGUUCACUGGGGUCGAACUCUAGCUAUUUAUAGGGAGUUAGAAUGGUUAGAUAAACCUCAAGAAAUAAAGAACUCAAACCUGCUGUUCCUGCAGAAACGGGUGAUUUCGGGCGCCCGGAACCAUGUGCUGGUAUCCGAAACCUCCAGGCUGCACAAAUACUCCUCUUCGGUUCCUUCGCCCGCAGUCUGCUACGCCCAUAUCCUGGUCCGGCGGACCUCACCUACCACCAACCACGUAUCAGCACAAACGAUACUCACAAGGUGAACUUUCGGACCUACUUCUGGACGCCUGAAACUAGAAUCUGAAUUGGCUUCCAGUUCUGCUCAGUUCAGCACUCAAGUUCUGGGCGACCCAAACCCUGUUCUGGGCGCCCUAAACUGGCAAAACUUCAGUUUUUGCUCCUUUGAGUGCGCCAAGUCCAUUUCUGCAUUCAUUUCGUGCAGAAACGACUCCGACUCAGUCCGACACUCACCAGAUGUGUCGACCAGUCACUAAUACUGUAGUCAAUCAUAUUCAAACCUCCGGAAUACUACAAUCAAUCUUUUAAAAAAUAGCAUUCCUAUUAAUAUCUCAAAUAAAAAUGAACGGUUAUUAUCAACCCGUUAAGAAAUGCAUUCGUAUUCAUCUAUUUUAUAACUGAUCAAUCUGUUAAAAAAUUAGCAUUCUUAUCAAUCUAUUUUACAUUAAAAUUAAAAUUAUAAAAUUUGAGUAUAAACCAUGAAUUAAAUUAAAUUUUGGAUAUCAAAUUUGAAUUAACAAUUAAAAAUUUUAAUUACAGUGUAUCAAAAUUAAAUCUUAAAUUUUAAAGAUUAAUUUGUUAAAAAAUAUCUCAAACAAAUUACAGAUAUUUUCUAAUAAAAUAUAACAUAGUAAUUUAUAAAAUAUAAUUUUUAUUAUAAAUUUUUGAAUAAAUAUGAUGUACAAAUUUAUAUUAAUUUAAAAUAAAUUAAAAUUAUUAUUACGUGUAUUUGUACGUACACUCAACUAGUAGAAUAAAAUUUCAAUAUAUAUUUGAUAAUCUAAAUGAAACUUC
This 1346-nucleotide long non-coding RNA is filed under the name Ananas comosus (pineapple). RNAcentral's name for it is "long non-coding RNA (ACOM_LNC030827)". The record is from RNAcentral. Lineage: Eukaryota; Viridiplantae; Streptophyta; Magnoliopsida; Poales; Bromeliaceae.